RNAcentral lists this transfer RNA (100 nucleotides) under Pirellulales bacterium. RNAcentral's name for it is "tRNA-Sec". It matches the Rfam family "Selenocysteine transfer RNA". Lineage: Bacteria; Pseudomonadati; Planctomycetota; Planctomycetia; Pirellulales. The record is from RNAcentral.
GGAAGUGUUUGCACACCUGGUGGUGGCCGCGGUCUUCAAAACCGUUGGGCGGUGCGUAAAUCGUAUUGCCAGUGGGUUCGAUUCCCAUACACUUCCGCCA